RNAcentral lists this long non-coding RNA (1225 nucleotides) under Anas platyrhynchos platyrhynchos (common mallard). RNAcentral's name for it is "lncRNA (ENSAPLG00000020137.1)". The record is from RNAcentral. Lineage: Eukaryota; Metazoa; Chordata; Aves; Anseriformes; Anatidae.
GCACGGCUCUGCCCGGGCUGGGCACGGCUUGGUACGGCUUGGCACAGCUCGGCAUGGUUUGGCACGGCUCUGCCGGGGCUGAGCAUGGCUUGUUACGGCUUGGCACAGCUCGGCACGGCUUGGCACAUCUCUGCCCGGGCUGGGCACGGCUUGGCACAGCUCGGCAUGGUUUGGCACGGCUCUGCCGGGGCUAGGCAAUGCUUGGCACUGCUUGGCACGGCUUGGCACGGUUUGGCAUGGCCCUGCCUGUGCUGGGCACGGUUUGGCACGGCUUGGCACAGCUCGGCACGGUUUGGCACAGCUCUGCCGGGCUGGGCACGGCUCUGCCCGGGCUGGGCACGGCAUGGCACGGCUUGGCACAGCUCGGCACGGUUUGGCACGGCUGUGCCCGGGCUGGGCGCCGUUUGGCACGGUUUGGCAGAGCUCUGCCCGGGCUGGGCACGCCUCGGCAUGGCUUGUCAGGGCUUGGCACGGCUCGGCACGGUUUGGCACGGCUCUGCCAUGCUGGGCACGGCUCGGCAUUCCUCGGCACUGUUUGGCACGGCUCUGCCGGGCUGGGCACAGCUCUGCCCGGGCUGCGCACGGCUUGGCACGGCUCGGCACGGUUUGGCACUGCUCUGCCGGGCUGGCCACGGCUCGGCAUUCCUCGGCACGGUUUGGCACGGCUCUGCCCGGGCUUGGCACGGCUUGGCACGGUUUGGUACUGCUCUGCCCGGGCUGGGCACGCCUCGGCAUGGCUUGGCACGGCUCGGCACGGUUUGGCACGGCUCUGCCCGGGCUGGGCAAGGCUUGGCACUGCUUGGCACAGCUCGGCACGGUUUGGCACGGCUCUGCCGGGGCUGGGCAAGGCUUGGUACGGCUUGGCACAGCUCGGCACGGCUUGGCACGGCUCUGCCCGGGCUGGGCACGGCUUGGCACGGCUCUGCCCGGGCUGGGCACGGCUUGGCACGGCUUGGCACAGCUCGGCACGGCUCUGCCGGGCUUGGCACGGCUUGGCACGGUUUGGUACUGCGCUGCCCGGGCUGGGCACGCCUCGGCAUUGCUUGGCACGGCUUGGCACGGCUCUGCACGGUUUGGCACGGCUCUGCCCGGGCUGGGCACGGUUUGGCACGGUUUAGCACACCUCGGCACGGUUUCGCACGGCUCUUCCCGGGCUGGGCACGGCUUGGCACGGCUCUGCGCGGCCGGACACUGCUUCGCACAGCUUGGCACAGCUCGGCACUGU